This 164-nucleotide ribosomal RNA is filed under the name Ligularia franchetiana. RNAcentral's name for it is "5.8S rRNA". It matches the Rfam family "5.8S ribosomal RNA". Rfam says of the family: 5.8S ribosomal RNA (5.8S rRNA) is a component of the large subunit of the eukaryotic ribosome. It is transcribed by RNA polymerase I as part of the 45S precursor that also contains 18S and 28S rRNA. The record is from RNAcentral. Lineage: Eukaryota; Viridiplantae; Streptophyta; Magnoliopsida; Asterales; Asteraceae.
CAAACGACUCUCGGCAACGGAUAUCUCGGCUCACGCAUCGAUGAAGAACGUAGCAAAAUGCGAUACUUGGUGUGAAUUGCAGAAUCCCGUGAACCAUCGAGUUUUUGAACGCAAGUUGCGCCCGAAGCCUCUCGGCCGAGGGCACGUCUGCCUGGGCGUCACAC